UACGUAGGGGGCAAGCGUUGUCCGGAUUUAUUGGGCGUAAAGAGCGUGUAGGCGGCUUUACAGGUCCGUUGUGAAAACUCGAGGCUCAACCUCGAGACGCCGGUGGAAACCGUAAGGCUAGAGUCCGGAAGAGGAGAGUGGAAUUCCCGGUGUAGCGGUGAAAUGCGCAGAUAUCGGGAGGAACACCAAUGGCGAAGGCAGCUCGCUGGGACGUGACUGACGCUGAGACGCGAAAGCGUGGGGAGCAAACAGG
Molecule: ribosomal RNA, 253 nt
Filed under: uncultured bacterium
Lineage: Bacteria
Description: partial 16S ribosomal RNA
Rfam family: Bacterial small subunit ribosomal RNA
Source: RNAcentral